UUCUACCUGGCAUAGAAUCUGCGGCAAUCAUUUCUCAAUUAGUGAUUGUAAACAAUGCUCAGUAAAUUAGUAAACACGGUCAGAGGCUGUCUCAAAACAUAAUCCAAACCACUUGUCUGGGAUAGAGAAGUAAAAUAAAUUUUAGUUAUUUACGGCAACAUCGGUACUACUCUGAGCACGACUAGGAAAUCGCAUCUAAGAGAAAACUUUGUUUCUCCAACGAUGGGUUAGCAGAAAAUGAACAGACGAAUAAAGGGUUUCGAGGACUUACAGUUGAUGAUUUUGAUUAGCCCAGAAAAGCCUUACAUACUGAUUAAUGUCUAAUUCACACACACUUAUUUCAUAGAGUGGAUUAUACUUAUUAUUGUUUUCGAAAUUGAAAUAAUAUAUUAUGUACCACAUACAAGGAACUAAGAAGUGGAGCCAGUGUAUUGACAAUUUUUCAGACGUUGACUUUCUUGAAGAUAAUUCUACAGACUCAGAUGAAGCCAUAUAAUAUUGGAGUGAAUUGUGCAACUCAAAGGUAAUACAAUUUUGCUGAGCAAGAAUUAAAUUUUAAUAAAGCAGAGAGCCUCAAAGAAACACAUAACUACUUUGGGCAUUGGUAUCUUUCUUAAAGGGAAAGUGCAUCUAGUUGGAUACGUUAAACAGGUCGUCAAACCCGUUCCCAUUUACAACGAGGAAAUACAAUCUUCAUUGUAAAAAAGAGUAUGCAAUUACCAAAAAGAUUCAGUGGUUGUUAUUAAAAUACUUCAACUAUCGACAAUGGACAUAAUUGAUGAAGACUUAUAUUAUAUUGUGAUAGAUAUAGAUUUCCAAAAAAUCAAUGAAAUAAAGACUAAAAAUCUUCGAAUUAAAUGAUUAUCCCAAUUUCUACCUGGCAUAGAAUCUGCGGCAAUCAUUUCUCAAUUAGUGAUUGUAAACAAUGCUCAGUAAAUUAGUAAACACGGUCAGAGGCUGUCUCAAAACAUAAUCCAAACCACUUGUCUGGGAUAGAGAAGUAAAAUAAAUUUUAGUUAUUUACGGCAACAUCGGUACUACUCUGAGCACGACUAGGAAAUCGCAUCUAAGAGAAAACUUUGUUUCUCCAACGAUGGGUUAGCAGAAAAUGAACAGACGAAUAAAGGGUUUCGAGGACUUACAGUUGAUGAUUUUGAUUAGCCCAGAAAAGCCUUACAUACUGAUUAAUGUCUAAUUCACACACACUUAUUUCAUAGAGUGGAUUAUACUUAUUAUUGUUUUCGAAAUUGAAAUAAUAUAUUAUGUACCACAUACAAGGAACUAAGAAGUGGAGCCAGUGUAUUGACAAUUUUUCAGACGUUGACUUUCUUGAAGAUAAUUCUACAGACUCAGAUGAAGCCAUAUAAUAUUGGAGUGAAUUGUGCAACUCAAAGGUAAUACAAUUUUGCUGAGCAAGAAUUAAAUUUUAAUAAAGCAGAGAGCCUCAAAGAAACACAUAACUACUUUGGGCAUUGGUAUCUUUCUUAAAGGGAAAGUGCAUCUAGUUGGAUACGUUAAACAGGUCGUCAAACCCGUUCCCAUUUACAACGAGGAAAUACAAUCUUCAUUGUAAAAAAGAGUAUGCAAUUACCAAAAAGAUUCAGUGGUUGUUAUUAAAAUACUUCAACUAUCGACAAUGGACAUAAUUGAUGAAGACUUAUAUUAUAUUGUGAUAGGUACCUAUUUCCUUUAAUUUGUGUACUUAUUUUUCCUAUGUUUCCCCCACCACCCAUCCGAAAGUAAUUAGUUACUUUAUUUAACCAAAAAAAAACUAUACCUAUACACUGUGCAGUCAUGUUU
Metopolophium dirhodum (rose-grain aphid) is the source of this 1800-nucleotide long non-coding RNA. RefSeq lists it as uncharacterized. The record is from RefSeq and is a predicted model, not a curated record. The transcript is spliced from 10 exons. Lineage: Eukaryota; Metazoa; Arthropoda; Insecta; Hemiptera; Aphididae.